UACAGAGGUCCCAAGCGUUGUUCGGAUUCACUGGGCGUAAAGGGUGCGUAGGUGGUGAGGUAAGUCGGAUGUGAAAGCUCGGAGCUCAACUCCGAAAUGGCAUUGGAAACUACCUUGCUCGAGGGUUGGAGGGGGGACUGGAAUACUUGGUGUAGCAGUGAAAUGCGUAGAUAUCAAGUGGAACACCAGUGGCGAAGGCGAGUCCCUGGACAACUCCUGACACUGAGGCACGAAAAGCUAGGGGAGCAAACAGG
Molecule: ribosomal RNA, 254 nt
Filed under: uncultured bacterium
Lineage: Bacteria
Description: partial 16S ribosomal RNA
Rfam family: Bacterial small subunit ribosomal RNA
Source: RNAcentral